Molecule: ribosomal RNA, 417 nt
Filed under: uncultured microorganism
Description: bacterial SSU rRNA
Rfam family: Archaeal small subunit ribosomal RNA
Source: RNAcentral
GUGCACCAGGCGAGAAACCUUCGCAAUGCGCGAAAGCGCGACGAGGGGACUCCGAGUGCCUAUGCUCAGCAUAGGCUGUUCACCGGUGUAAAAAGCCGGUGGAGGAAGGGGUGGACAAGACUGGUGCCAGCCGCCGCGGUAAUACCAGCGCCCCAAGUGGUGAUCGAUAUUAUUGGGUCUAAAACGUCCGUAGCCGGCCCGGUAAAUCUCCGGGUAAAUCGUCCAGCUUAACUGGUCGAAUUCUGGGGAGACUGCCGGGGCUUGGGGACCGGGAGAGGUCGGAGGUACUCCAGGGGUAGGGGUGAAAUCCUGUAAUCCCUGGGGGACCACCGGUGGCGAAGGCGUCCGACUAGAACGGGUCCGACGGUAAGGGACGAAGGCUAGGGGAGCAAACGGGGAUUAGGAUACCCCGGUAGU